GACUCGGUAGCUCAGCUGGUAGAGCAAAUGACUCUUAAUCAUUGGGUCGAGGGUUCGAACCCCUCCCGGGUCA
Molecule: transfer RNA, 73 nt
Filed under: Mucilaginibacter glaciei
Lineage: Bacteria; Pseudomonadati; Bacteroidota; Sphingobacteriia; Sphingobacteriales; Sphingobacteriaceae
Rfam family: tRNA
About the family: Transfer RNA (tRNA) molecules are approximately 80 nucleotides in length. Their secondary structure includes four short double-helical elements and three loops (D, anti-codon, and T loops).
Source: Rfam by way of RNAcentral